RNAcentral lists this ribosomal RNA (374 nucleotides) under uncultured bacterium. RNAcentral describes it as "bacterial SSU rRNA". It matches the Rfam family "Bacterial small subunit ribosomal RNA", at positions 8 to 366 of the family's 1533-position model. The record is from RNAcentral.
AGAGUUUGAUCAUGGCUCAGAACGAACGCUGGCGGCGUGCUUAACACAUGCAAGUCGAACGCGAAAGGGACUUCGGUCCCSAGUAGAGUGGCGCACGGGUGAGUAACGCGUAAGUAAUCUACCCCUGUAUCUGGAAUAACCCACCGAAAGGUGAGCUAAUACCGGAUACGUUUAUCUUGAUGCGAAUGAUGAUAAAGAAAGGUGGCCUCUUCAUGAAAGCUACUGUACAGGGACGAGCUUGCGUACCAUUAGCUGGUUGGUAGGGUAAUGGCCUACCAAGGCGACGAUGGUUAGCGGGUCUGAGAGGAUGAUCCGCCACACUGGAACUGAAACACGGACCAGACUCCUACGGGAGGCAGCAGUGAGGAAUAUUG